ACACACUCUCUAAUACUAUAACAGUGGUAGCACUCACCUAUAUUAAAGAGUGUGACAACAAGUGUGUCAAAAAUAGUUUUAUUGUUUAAUUAAAAAGUGAUGCUAUUUGAACACAAAACUGAAACACUUAUUAAAAUGCUCUCAAAUAAAAGUGAGAGACCCACAUAAAAUGGUAUAACUCAACUAUAUUAGAAAUUGUUAGUUUUGUGUGCAAAUAACUUUAUUGUUAAUUAAAUACUCAUAUUAUCUUUUUUUUUUUUAACAAACGAUUUUAUCCACACUAAGGAGAGGGGGUGGACUUAGCCUUACAGUGGGCUAUCAACAAUGUGGUUCAAACUCGCAUUUGGCAAGAAUCGAACUUAAGUUAAGACCUCUCACUUACAAGUGAAAAAAAUACCACUAGACCGUAGUACUAAGUGGCAAUACUCAUAUUAUCUUAAUUGUUGAAUUGAGUUUUCCUCCAUAUGAUAGUGAAAGAUUAGUAGUGUUUAAAAAAUUAAAAGUGUCACCAAAUUAAGGAAGCUGUUUGAGGGAAUAUGUCAUAAAAAUGGAGAAUAUUCAAAGGGAAUACGAUCUUAUACGAAGAUUUAUUAUCUUUUUGCAACUAAAAAAAUUCUUAUAUGGCUGCCAAAUUAAAGCACACUAUAUACUAUUUAGUUAAUUAGCAUGAUAUGACCCUGUGAAGCAUUAAUGUAUAUAAGCAAGGCCGGCUUGGAGAUUUUAGGGACUUUGUGCGGAAUAUAUAGUAAAUGGACCUUAAUUUGUAUAAAAACUCAUGCUAUACAGCUAAUUUAUAUGUCUAUGUAUUAAUAAGGGAUCUAAGUAGUGUAUUUACUUCUGACUUAUCAUUGAAAUCAACAAACAUCAUGAAAAAUAAAAUAAAAACACAAUUAAUAGCAAAGCCGGCAGAAUCCAAACUAAAAACAUAAAAAUGAUUCUUCUUAUGCAUGUGGAGGCCCUAUUUCUUUUAUUCACAUGAAGAACCUGGAAAAUUUCUGAAAAAUGACAUCAUCCUUUAGCAGGGUUGGGAACCCGGUGCAAGACCGAUUGCACAUGCCCAAAACCGCCACUGUAGAUGAGGUCUUAUUCGCAUUGACGUGUUAAUAUAUGCUGCUUCCAAAAUAAUUAAUUAGUCAGUCUAGGGUUUGCGUAGAACAAAACCUUUACGUCACUUUACCAUCGAAAAUACUUUGAUUUUCAGUUUUGUCAUUAAUUAGCUAAUCAAUCAAUUAAAAAUGAUGAUGAAUAAAUUAACCAAUUGCCAAAAUAUUCGAUUAAUUGAGUUUAAGUUAAUGGCGAUAUAAGAGCGAGAAAUUAAGGAAAGAAAGAGAGGUUGAUCAGCUAAUGAUUUGGAUGAUCGUAUACAUGUAGAUUACAGAGAAGGGAAUAAACGGUGGUGGGAAGUUCAUGAGUUAUAACAUAAAAUCUUGAAGAACUCUAUCUCUUUCAUCAUAAAAUGGGUUGGUCUGGUUGGACCCAAGAACAAAUAUUUUGCUCAAACAAUAAUGUUUAAUAGGGAAGGUAUUGCCUGCUAGCCUACUCACAGCAGUCCAUUAUUUUGAGAACCGAAAAGACUAACAGAGCAUUUCAGCAUCUCUUUGGCCACCAUCAACACUAAGGAUCGAAUCCAAAACAUGCCUUGUUACGGGAUCGAACCCACUGGGCCACCCCGUAGUGAUUUGCCUACCCAUCAUAUGUUGGAGUUUUAUAAAAAUAAAAAAAUAGUAAGCUAGGUAGCAAUACCGAUGUGACUCUCAACAUAUGUAUUCACUCGUAUAGUUUGGCAUGUAUAGGGUUUUUAUCUAAAAUAAGGCUUCAACAUAUUAGGAACAAAACUAUUUAGUAUAAACUAUGUUUAGUUCCACCAAUUUUCAAAUAUAAAACUUUCUACAUUUUUCAACACAAGCACGUGAUGAAAGAAAAAGAGAUGUACCUUGAUUACAAGUAAGAAGCUCUUGCUAAGUGGAAGAGCAUGAUUGGAUGGACCAAAUCAAUGAGGAUAUAUACAUGCAACUUAAUUGAAAUUCGUUGGGUAAAUGUUUUAGGAUGUGAUGGUCAAAAUGUGAUGAACAAUCAGUUUUUGAUUGAAUUGCGAAGUCUUUGCCAAAGUUCAGUGAUUCUGUGAUUGAUUCUUACUCUUUUGUUUGAAACCGACCAGAUUUUGCCACCUUUAACGGCAAUCCACAAGUUUGGUAUCUUACUAUUGCCCAGUUCAUAAGGUAAACCUGCUGGGGUAGACUUUGGAUCAACACCAAGGAAUAUUCUUUUACUUAUCUUGAGACAUCGUCCCUCUACAUCUCAGUUUCAUGCAAGUCAUUUUCAUAAAAUUGGAUGAACCUUUUGAAUUCACAACACCUUUCUCUAACUUUGAAAGACAAGUGUAACUAGAACCAGGAACAAAGAAACCAGAAAGUCGAUUGAUAUGGAAAGAAGAUAGAAGACUGUCCACGUCAUUGAAGAACCGUACCACACGAAUGAGGCCACGUGUGUGAACCCAUGUUUUUUUUUUGGUCAAAAGAUAAAUUUUAUUAAAUUCUAAUAGAAACAUUCACACCUUCUGCAAGAAUAUUGAAAAGACAUUCAUGACCAUAAGCAUCCUAUAGGAACGAACCACAACGCGAGGUUGCAACUCCGCUGAACAUACAUAAACUUCACCUCCCUAAUCUGAGACGCCAAAUUCUGAAUAUAAAAAAUGAAGCAUUUCAAAUUUGCAUCAAUUGUGCAUUCCCCAUUUAUCAUGUUGAUAAGAGAUAGAGCAUCAUACUCUAUCUCUACCAUCUCAUAAUGCAUGUCCCUACACAUCACCAAAGCUGCACGAAUUGCAGCCGCUUCCACCAUAGCUGCACCAUUGAAAAACUCACCUCCCACCCCACCAGCCAUCUGCAAAAGUCCCGCAAAUCUCGCACCACCCACCCAUAGCCACCUAACAUUGAUUUCCCACGCCAUGCCCCAUCACAGUUAAUUUUCAAAGUCCCAAAACUAGGACGUUUGCAUCGAACUUGUUGCCCGGCAAAAACCGACGUUGAAGGUUUCCCGCAGCGCUCCUUCUCCCUUGUCUUUUCCUGCAUGUAGCGAACCCAUGUUGGGUUAAGCUAAAGAUAUCAGUUGGUCAAUUCCAAACCCACCCUUCACACUCUCCUGUCCCGCCUCCCGCCGGCCCCAAUGCCCUUGGAACCACGUACCCAACUACAAACAUAUAUUUCACGAUCACCUCUCUCCCUCCUCCGCCGUACAGAAUUCUACACCCGCCCGUGUGCAUCCCUUGCCUGUCUAUGUUGUUUGGAAAAUAUAGAGUACUUUAAAAGGGUUUUCUUCUUUUAAAUUAGCAUAGACGACUUACAAGAAUUUCAAAACAAAAAUAAUAAUCUCAUCAUAACGUUAAUGUACGUUUAAGAUAGCGAAAGCUUUGAAAUCACUUGCACGUUGGAAGUCAAAAGAUGCUCCUACAUACAACAACGACGUUGUUUUAUUUCACUAAGUGAGGUCAGUCGUAUAAAUUAUAAAACGCUACUGCACUCAAUUUUGCGUCAAGUAUUUCGUUAGCUCAAAGUACUCAAUGUUUUUUUUAAAGUAUUUUUUCAAAUUUUCCUAGGUCUUCAUCGAUCUACCCUUUUUGCACUGAGCAUCUGUCUCAUAAGCGCAUUUUCUAACCAAAGCAUUUAUAGAUCUUCGUUUCACAUGUUCAAACCACCUUAACCAAUUUUUUUUUCAUUACCUUCAAUUGCAACCACUCCUAAUUUGCCUUGGAUAUCCUCGUUAAUCUUGUCAUUUCUCGUGUACCCACACAUCUAACAAAACAUUCUCAUAUUCUCUACACUCAUUUUUUGCAUGUGUUGAUGCUUGGUAGUUGGUACCCCCAAAAUAUAUUUAUAUAUAUUGAAAAUAAACAGACAAAAAAAUUGGUAUAAAAUAUAAAAUUUUGCGGACAUGGUCGAGCAAAACUGCUAAUUUAAACACAAACAAACUUGCCCUCGAUUAAUAUCAUUUGUUAUUCACACUUUUAUUUUAAGAAGCAUAAUACUAGUAUUGAUUCUAGAAGACUUACAAUUUUCAAGUAAUAUAAUAAUGAUUCAUUUGUUCUUCACAUUUUAUAUACGACAUUAUUUGUUGUGUACCCCAAUCUUACACUUUAACCAUCCAUUUAAAUAAUUAUCUAUUUAAGUACGAUUAAAAAAAAAGAAAAUUCGAACAAAAAUAUAAAGAGAAAACACAUUAUCUUAAGCAACUAAAUUACGUAUAUGUGUACAUAUUUCAUGUUUCUAGUGGUACAGUAGAGCAUUAGUUUAUCCCCUCCAUCAAUGUUCCACCCUCUACCCUCUGGUGGUCCUUACUCUCUUUACAAUAUUUAAAUUGUCUUAAUCAAUUUAUUAUUAUAACUAAAAAUUUAUAAAAAGAAAUUGGCAUAUAUACGCGCACCCGUGUGUGUGUAUGUAUAUAUAUUUUUAAAAUUGAUAUUAUUAUUUAUUAGCAAGCGAAAUUAUUAGUUGUUAUGUAAAAGACAUUAGUUUUCCUUAGAACGAGAGUUUUAACGAAACACUCAUAGUACUGUUCAUUUUAACGAAAAAUGACAAUUUUACUUUAAAAAGUCACUCAUUGUACCAUUCACUUACAACACAUUUUUGUCAUUUUGAUUAAAACUCAAAAUUUUCAAGUAAUUUUCAUUAGUUUUCCUUAGAAUUAAACCUAUACUAGAAUGCAUAAUCAUCAUUACUUUCUAUUAUUGUCCUAAAAUGUCAUAUGCGUCCAUAUAUCUUGACUUUAGAGUAAGAUUUUCUCAUCUCCUAUUUCUCUCUCCUUGUCUCACACUUUCUUUUUUGUCUUAUUUCUCAAUAAGAAAAUCAAUAUAAGAUGCUUACGUAACUUUUUUUUUUUGACAAGUACAAUAUUCAUUAGGACAGGACAAAAUUCGUACAAACUGAGGAUAGUGUGCUAAAUGGGCAUCGAUAAAAAACUUGUCGGAGAUUUUAACCCGGUCUAAGAAAAAGAGUGUCCUGCACAACGAAAGAGCUAUCCUCUUACGUAACUUAAUCGUACUAUUUAAAUAGAAUAAGAAGAAAUAAGAGAGAUUAGGAGAAGAUAAUCCUACUCCUCGACUAUCAUUAUCUACUCUGUUAUCUCUGUCGCCCUAUAUAUAAUAUUCCCUCCAAAGUUACUACAACUCAAUUCCCCUUGUAAAAUCACUCCCUCCCUACUCUCAAACGCUCUCUCUCUCUCUCUCUCUCUCUCUCUCUCUCUCUCUCUCACAUCAGCAAUAUCAGAACCUGAGAUAACACUGAUAGAGCGCAGCCAACAGCAGCUGCGCAAAGUAUACUUCCAAUUCCCGGUUCGUUAACUAACGGUUUUCCUCUCUUCCCAUUUUACCCCUCCCGUCUUCUCCAAUUCACAUCCAAACGCCAUCGCACCUCCACCACGAGAUCUGAACACCGGAAGAGUGACUAAUAAUUAAGCAACGGCGCCGUUUCACUCACGCGCACUCCCAACAGCCAGUAAAAAAUGAUUUCGUGGCACGACCUUUACAACGUGUUGACGGCGGUGGUGCCGCUGUACGUGGCGAUGAUCUUAGCCUAUGGCUCCGUCCGGUGGUGGAAGAUCUUCUCCCCUGACCAGUGCUCCGGCAUCAACAGCUUCGUGGCGAUAUUCGCUGUCCCCUUGCUCUCCUUCCACUUCAUCUCCACCAACGACCCCUACACCAUGAACUUCCGGUUCAUCGCCGCCGACACCCUCCAGAAAAUCAUCAUGCUCUUCGCCCUCGGCCUAUGGACCAACUUCACCCGCAACGGCAGCCUAGAGUGGCUGAUUACGAUUUUCUCCCUCUCCACCCUCCCCAACACUCUCGUCAUGGGGAUUCCGCUGUUAAUCGCCAUGUACGGCAAAAAAAUCCCGGAAUCCGGCAGCCUCAUGGUGCAGCUGGUGGUGGUCCAGUGCAUCAUCUGGUACACUCUCCUACUCUUCCUGUUCGAGUACCGCGGUGCCAAGCUCUUAAUCAUGGAGCAGUUUCCGGAGACCGCUGCCUCCAUCGUCUCCUUUAAACUCGACUCCGACGUCGUUUCGCUCGACGGCAGGGAUUUUUUGGAAACCGAUGCCGAAAUCGGUAACGACGGAAAGCUCCACGUCAAGGUCCGGAAGUCCAACGCAUCGAGGCGGUCGCUAUCUGCAAUGACGCCCCGGCCGUCUAACCUCAGCAGCGCGGAGAUUUACAGCCUGAGCUCCUCCCGAAAUCCCACCCCGCGAGGCUCCAACUUUAACCCCUCCGAUUUGUACUCCGUGAUGGGGGUUCAUGGGUUCAACAGCCGCCACUCCAACUUCGGACCCGCCGACUUGUAUUCGGUUCAGUCCUCCCGCGGUCCGACUCCACGGCCCUCCAAUUUCGAGGAGAAUUGCGCGGCUCAGACCGUUAUGACGGUACCCGCAUCGUACCCGGCCCCGAAUCCUGAAUUCUCGGCGCCCACAGCUAAAAAUAGCAACACAAUUCAACAGCAGCAGCAGCCGCAAGUGGCAGCGCAACCGGUUUCGGACAGUGCUGCUGCUAAAACGAAUAGUCAUCUCGAUGCUAAAGAGCUCCACAUGUUCGUUUGGAGCUCCAGCGAGUCCCCUGUUUCUGAAGGCAGUGGGCUCCAUGUUUUUGGUGGGACCGAUUUCGGUGCUGCCGAGGAAUCUGGACGGUCCGAUCAUGGCGCCAAGGAGAUCAGAAUGCUUGUUGCUGACCACCUCCAAAAUGGAGAAAACAAAGGUAACUAACGUUUAUUUCCCGACAAAAAGUGUUUGUAAUCUGAAUAAAAUACACGAAAAUAUUUGACAAGUUAUCAUUUUCUUAAUUAAUAUUCUUUAUUUUGUGCGGUGGCAGUUCCGGAGAGUGCGCCAACGGCGGAGGGGUACGGCGGGGAAGCGUUGAGAUGUGGCUGGAGGGGUGGCGAGGGAGAGGAGGCUGAAGGGGAAAAAGAGGGAACCACAGGGCUUAAUAAGCUGGCGUCCAGCUCCACUGCAGAGCUGCACGCAAGGGGCGGAAGGCAAAUGCCGCCGGCGAGCGUUAUCACCCGUCUGAUCUUGAUCAUGGUUUGGCGGAAGCUUAUCCGUAACCCCAACACGUAUUCGAGCCUCAUUGGUCUCAUCUGGGCUCUCAUCGCUUUCCGGUGAGACAACUUAAUCCAGUUUUAUUAAACUUGUUUUUUUUUAAUAUGUUUGAUACAAAUAUUUUUAACUAACACUAGCCAAUGAGCACACACUCUGUGGGUGGGAAUAAUUUCAUUUUAUUUUUAGUAUUUUCAUUAAGGAGUGUGAUUAGUUUUUAAAAUUUUAAAAAGAAUAUGAACAAAUAAUUGUGGGAUAAUUUCUCUUAAUAAAUGCAUAUUUUAUCUUAAUAUUACAUAAUUUUUUUUAAAAAGAGUAUGAAAAAAUAAUGAUAAGACAAUUUCUCUUAAUAAGUGCAUAUUUUAUCUUAAUAUUACAUAAUUACUGUUUUUUUGUUUUUUCAUUAAGGAGUGUGAUUAGUUUUGAAUUUUUUUAAAAAAGUAUGAAAAAAUGAUGGUGGGACAAUUUCUCUUAAUAAGUGCAUAUUUUAUCUUAAUAUUACAUAAAAAAAUUUAAAAAGAGUAUGAAAAAAUGAUGGUGGGAUAAUUUCUCUUAAUAAGUAUAUAUUUUAUCUUAAUAUUACAUAAUUAUUGUUUUGUCCUCCUUAUGUAAAUAUUGUGUAUCAAAAGUGAGGGUAAAAUAGGAAAAAUAGGAAUAUGAUUGUCAUUUUCUCAAAGAUACAAAAUUACUGUUUUGCCCUAGUUAUGUAAGUAUUGUGUAUUAAAAGUGAGGGCAAAAUAAGAAAAAAUAGGGUAAAAAUUUGACAAAAAGGGUUCUCUAAAUAAUAGUAUAGAUUAAAAUUUAUGAUUUGAAUUAUUGGAUUUGUAGGUGGCAUGUGGGGAUGCCAAAAAUAGUAGAAAAGUCAAUUUCCAUACUGUCUGAUGCUGGACUUGGAAUGGCUAUGUUCAGCUUAGGUAAGUUAUAUGUUUCUUGAUUACCAUACUCUUUCAAAUUAAUAACUUCAUAUUCUUCUCUUGGAUAAUACUUAGAAAAUUGUUACUAGCACUACACAAUAUUUCUUCAACAUUCCUAAUUAGAUAAAGAAAAACUGUAACAACAACCACACCAACAAAGUUUUAUCACAAUGAGUGAGGUUGAGUGCAUGAAUUCUAGAACGUCACUGUGCUGGAUUUUGCGCUAAGUUUUUCGUUAGCUUUAAGCACUCAAUGUCUUUUCUUAGAGUCUGUUUUCAAGUUUUUCUAAGUUUUCCUCUACCAUUUUUGCCCAGAGCCUCUGUUUCCUAAUAAUAAGUUGCACCGCCUAGAACAAUAGUCAUGGUUCGGUAAUUUAUGCAAGUAAACAUUGGCAGAAUGUUGUUUGUCUAGCGUAAACCGAAACACACUAUGAUAAUAUAUUUCAAGUCAAUUACGCAUUUGUUAUAGCAUAAUUUCAAUUACAGAUAAGUUUAUAUGGGUGUGGAUACGCAGUACUCUGACGAAUCAUAACCAACCAGUGGUUCUUACAGCUGUUUGUUUGGUCACAAGAAAGAGAAGUUGAAGGCUGCAGUUUAAGGAGUUCACUAUAAUUGGACAUUUUUCACGACAGAUGCGUGAUUAGGUCCAAAUUAGUCAAUGUAGUUGAAAGUUUGAGAUAACCGGCUGGAGUAUGGGAAUAGGAAAUUUGAGCUUUUGGUUUGUGUGAAAGAGAGUUUGAAAUCAUUAGUUUGUGUGAAGUGAGUCAACGAAAUGAGUUAAUGGAAAUAAUAAGAUGCAAUUUAAGUUGUUUGGAUUGCCUGAUCCUUGGGUCGUAGACAGUAAACUUAGUAAGAUUCGGAGUGAAUCUAUGUCUCUUACGAAAAUAAAUAAACUUGUUUAUGUUAAUAUAUUUCUAUUCACGGGUGAUUUUAGCACUUCUCGUUUGACUUUCCUUCUCUUUGUAACUUAAAUUUAAUUUGUAACAAAGGGAAUAACGAGUUACUGAUGAUUUUGUUGUUGUAUUGAUGAUAAAAAUGACAGGUCUUUUCAUGGCACUUCAACCCAGGAUAAUAGCAUGUGGGAACUCAGUUGGCGGAUAUGCAAUGGCAGUAAGGUUCCUCACUGGCCCCGCCGUUAUGGCUGCCGCCUCCAUUGCUGUUGGCCUCCGGGGCACCCUCCUCCACUUAGCGAUUGUCCAGGUACUUUUAAAUUACCCAUUACGCCCUUCAACUUUUUCCUUUUCUUUACGCUUAAUAUUGGGAUAAUUAUUAAAAAAAAUUAAUCCAUGUGUGGCAAACUAGGCUGCUCUUCCUCAAGGACUUGUUCCCUUUGUCUUUGCCAAGGAGUACAAUGUUCAUCCAGCCAUUCUUAGCACUGCGUAAGUAGAAACAUUGUAUCUCAAACUUAGUUCUCGUUUGAAAGUGCUGUUAAAAUGACUGAAAACGUUUUUGGUAAUAUUGAUUUUAGGUGUUAAAAGCACUUUAAGUGAUUUUCUCAUGAUAUAUUUGAAGAUUGGUUUUAAAAACAUUUUCACUAAAGCGCUUUUAGUCAUUUUUAAAGCACUUCAAAUCUAGCGCUUAAUCCCUUCUUAUCUUAAUCAAACUUAAUUUUAUUUUAUAAUAUUAACCAAUUAAAUAAUUUCUUGCAGGGUUAUUUUCGGAAUGUUGAUAGCGUUACCUAUUACAUUGGUCUACUAUAUUCUUCUGGGAUUGUAAUUGUUGGUGUCACAGAAGCACAGAUGGAUACACAAAGCUAGGAAAAAGAAGAGAGAUCAAAUCGUAUGUGUGUGGCCACGCAAAAAUACUCAAAAUGUGUCACACAUUGAAAUCGACAAGGAUUUUCUGGUAGAGAAAAAGCUUAGCUAGCUAGAUUAAGUACGAUGGAAAUCAACGAAGAAUCCGCCGAGGUCUGAAGGUGUUUUAUUCCAAAUUUUGGGGAGCAAAUUAAUAGAUUUUUUUACUUUAUGUAAUUAAGAAAAGCCCUGUUUAUAAGGAUCAUGCUCCCAUGAAAGGCCGAAGUUAGUCUAAAUUUGUGAGAGCUUGUUGGAAGGGAGCAAACGUAGGAGAGUAAAACAAGGAAGAAAAGCAGAUGAUUUAUUAAUUAAUCAAUGUGCUUUGUUGCGUUAGAUUUUGCGUCAGACUUAUUGAUUUUUAUUUAUUUCUUUAAUCAUACGUGUUCUUUCUGCUCUCAACUAAACUAAGAAAACAAAAUAUUCGAGAGCAGUAAGUUGAAGAUGAAAAUCGUAUCUAACAAUGCGAUUCCCCACUUAUGCCUCUUCUAUAUUUUAAGCAAUGGGAGCAACUUGUAGUAUUGUUCUGUGAAGACUUUUACCACUUGGGGGUUAGAGCAACCGAACAAGCAAAGGUUUUUCUCGAAAGCACAUUGUCUUUCUAUCAACUGAAAGUGAGAACGAAUCAUGUACGUUUAGGCACAGGAGAGGAUUUUGUAGUUGGGAAGGGGGUGAUGCUUCUUCUUUCAAGAGAAAAAGUUGAGAGAAAGUAAAACAGAGACGUAGAUAAACACAAGUCAAAAGUAGUUUUAGACUGUUACUUAAUACUACUAUUUAGUGAUAUUCUUCUUCAUUUGUAAGUUGCAAGUGAGAAGUUUUAGAUUCGAUUAUUGCCAAAAAUAAAUUUAAACUACAUUAUUAUGACUAGUUUAUUGUGAUGCUUACACUUCCCCAACAGCUAAUAUUAUUGUUCGUUAAAAGAACAUAGUUUUAGGCUUAGAUUACUCUUUUGCUUUUCGCUUUUGAUGCAGCCACACUAAGUCACGAAGCCCACAACCCUACCCUACUUUUUAGUUUUUAUUUAGGCCCACUAGGCAGUGGUGGGAUGGUCAACACAAUUAAAAUUUAAGAGUGAUUAUAUUCACACACCUCAAAUUAUUUUUUUCAUACUUUUUUAAUUUUUUACACACCACUAUACUUGAUAGAAAAAUAUUAAAAAAUUAAAAGAUGUGGAUGAAGUAAUUUGGAAUGUGUGAAUAUAAUCUCCCAAAAUUUAAUUGUAUUUUUUUAGUUUUUUAUUUUUAAACGAUUAUUAUUAGUACUCUAAAAUAUAAUUAUGCAUUUCAAAUUUUUUAUAUUUAAAACAAAUACGUAUAAAAUGUGUAAAAUUAUAAUGUUAAAGUGCUAAUAGUAGUUCCUUAUUUUUAUUUUACUUUUUUCCUCAUGAGGAAAUGAUAAAUAAUACUUAGUUACUCAAAUGAUGAGUAUGAGUUCCUAUUCAAAAUUAUUCGGUGCAAAUUCAUAUAAUUCGUGUUUAUGAUCAGAAUCGUUCGUAUUAUAAAUCAUUUUAUAAAGAUCAUCUCUACAAAAAAAUCAAUUAAACCUAAUGUCUUUUAGUGAACAAAUGAACGAAAUUGGUAAAAACACUACGAACUGUCUUUGUAUUUGCUACAAUAGAUUGACUAAACGUCCUAAAUUUAAUUUAUUUUUUGCAGAAAUGUUAUUUACAGAGUGAUUCAUAAUAUGAAUAGUUUUGAUUAUAAAUGGGCCAAUUAAGUUAAGGGCAUUUUUUUAGUACAAUCGGUAUUUUACAUUAGUUUAUAUUAAAGGUGAAUGAAAAGAUUUAAACUUGGGACGUAAUAGCUUGAAGAAGAGUUUUUCAACUAUCAGGGUAAAAGAAAUGCUUAUGGAACUAUCCAUAGAUUCUCUGUCAUCUCAGGUAGUUUUUAUCACAAUAUUUUAUAAUAGGGUAAAUUACAUAGUAGCCCCUCAGGUUUGAGGUCUAUUACAACCCCAUACAACAUCUUUAAAACAUUUCACUUUCAUACCUCAAGUACUAUUUUAUUUCAAAAUAAUACAACCGUUAGAUUUUCCAUCCAUUGAUCCGUUAAGCGCUGACGUGGCUGCCACAUUUGUGCCACGUGGCUGCCAAAUGUGUGCCACGUGGUUAAAAAAAAUUAUUUUUUUAUUUUUUUUAAAACCUAAGUCUUCUAUUAAAAAAAAAAAAAAAGCCCAAAACAAAUGCAGAAACGCGCAACCCAGCAAACUCACUUCCUUUCCCUACCCCCCCACGCCCCCGCACCCGCACCACAGCACCUCCCUUCCCCACCUUCCCAGACCUUCCCCGAGCCCUUCCCAGCAGCUCCCCCCCACCCAGAAACCUUUUCCCCCCCCUCCCGCAGCAUACCCACACCCUCCCCGCAUGACCCGUCCGCAGGCUUUUUUUGGGUUUUAGGAACUCGAUCAAAUUAGGGUUCUUUUUCUUCUAAUUCCUGUUCAAAGAAUCAAUCAUAGAAGAGGAGGCAAUGGCGACAGAGUCAUCGGAGGGAGAAGAGGAUGCGAAGCUGAUGGGAGGGAACCAGCUACUGGUAGUCGACGACGAUCUCAGAGAAAUGGGCAAGAAGGCUGCCUGGAGCGUUAGCUCCUGCAAGGCCGGCAAUGGCGUCUGUUUUCCGUGACGACAAUCUCGACACCUACUGGCAGUCUUUGCUCCAAUUCCCCUUUCCUACUUUAAUCCCUCAAAAUAUUGAAAUCUUUGAAUUUUAAUUUUGUUUGUUUGUUCUUGGUUUGCAGAUCCGACGGUGUGCAGCCUCAUUUGGUGAACAUUCAAUUCCAGAGGAAAGGCUUCAAGGUAUGGUGGUUGCAGGUAGGGGAGUCGGGGGAAGAAGAGAUGGGAGGAGGAGGGGGACGACGAACUGAUGGGUAUUUUUUUUUUUCUGGGUUGCAGAGGGGGUUUUUUUUUUUUUUUUUCUGGGUUGCAAAGGGUUUUUUUUUUUUUUUUUUUCUGGGUUGCAGGGGGAAGAAGAUGAAGAUGGGGGAGGAGGAGAAGAUGGAAGGGGGGGAGACGAACUGGGUUUAGGUUUAGGUUUUUAUUAUUUUUUUUUAAAUUUUAAUUUUUUUUUAUAAAUUUUUAUUUAGAAGAUUUAGGUUUUUUUUUAAAAAAUAAAAAAAUAAUUUUUUUUGCCACGUGACACACAUUUGGCAGCCACGUGGCACAAAUGUGGCAGCCACGUCAGCGCUUAACGGAUCAAUGGAUGGAAAAUCUAACGGUUGUAUUAUUUUGAAAUAAAAUAGUACUUGAGGUAUGAAAGUGAAAUGUUUUAAAGAUGUUGUAUGAGGUUGUAAUAGACCUCAAACCUGAGGGGCUACUAUGUAAUUUACCCUUUAUAAUAUUGACAUAAGAAUUGAUAUUAAAUUGUGAUGUGACAGAAAGUCAAUAGUCCUACUUUUUAGAGAAUCUCUUUAGUAUUUCUCACUAGGUGAUCCACCACUUGUAAGUUAAGAUGGUAUUUCAAUUACCAAUUAAUUAAAUCAAUGUUUCUAGAUGCAAAAUCCAUCGACAAGUUGGUGAAUUUUAGGAUAAUUAGGCAUUAGGGCAAAGGGGAACCCCGUAUCCCAAGAUUUGAUGUAAGGAGGAGGGGUUAUGUAGUUUUGGGAGGGAACACACGCACUACACAGUGUUAGGUGUUAAUUUCCCCCGUAAAAAGUUAAAAAAAGUAAGGAAUCAAAGAACAAAAAUUAGGCAAUAAAUCACGGACAAGGGAAGAAAGACCAACAUGCUCGACGAUCGAUCAGUCGGCCAAUAAGAAAACGAAAGCGACGGCAGUCAUGCAUGCAUGCAUGAGUCCAUUUUUGCUCACUACCCUUAAGUGAUGGUAAUGCUCACCAUCCUAUUUAUAAGUCUAUAACCGUUAGAUGAGUUUGAAUUUUGAGAUUUGUCAUAUCCACUACACAAAUCUCGAAAUUCAAACUCAUCUAACAGUAAUAAAUAAAGUGAUGAGCAUACACCAUUGUUUAUGAUAGUGAGGAAAAAUACUCUCAUGCAUGCAUGCAUGCAUGUUGAAUGUUGGAGGUUGCAAAUUGGCGAAUUACGAAACGGCGGACUCAGCCUUGACAUGCAGAUGGGUUCGCUCUCACAUGCGAUUGUAGCCACAAUCCAACAAAUGCAAUUAAGCAGCUAGCUCUCACCCCCAUGUGUGCACUGUGUUGUCUACCGCACUGUGUUGUCUACCUCACUUUCUUCUCAAUAAUAUAUAAGAAUUCAUGAUUUAUAUUCAAACUUCAAAUUACAUAGACACGUCUUGUGAUAAACUCUUACAUUUGUCAUGUUGUGUAUUUGAUAAAAUGCUAGUUGAAAGACAAUUUAUCAAUGUAAACUCGUUAGGUACUGAGCUUUUUCAUGAAAUCUUGACACUGUCUCAACUCACUAUCCUGUUUUAGUAGCUACUACUUGCUAAUGAUUAAAUGGCUAAUAAUUAUCAAGUUGUAAAUAAUAUCGGUGUGCAAGUGAUAAUUACUAAGUUAAGGAUAAUAUCGGAGUUGUUUUAAGUGAAUAUUUGGCUCGUCUCUCAACAAUUUGACAUUAUUUUCUAUUCAAACACGUGACCAAAGUGGCCGGGGUCCAUGCUCAUGUGGAUCUCCAUGUUUUGUUCGUGUGGAGCUGGAGCCUAGAGAGCUUGCUAAAACUGUUUCAAACGGCGAUUGCAGCCAAACAUGCCAUUGCAAUCUAUAUAUGACUGAUCGAAUUUCUCAUUGACACCAGUAGACAAAAAGAUAUAUAUAGAAUCCAAGCAAGGUAGGAACUGUUUGGGAACCAAGUUCCUCUGAGGCUUUUGGACUUUGUUGUUGCAACUUUUCUUUGGAUACAAAGGGGGAAUGGACCCCAAUGCGACACGAACCACACAGAUACACACACAUCAACAACAACAACAAUAACAAAGUUUUUUCACUAAGUAGGGUCGGCUACACACACAUAUACAUAUAUAUAGUUAAGCAGCUAUAAGAGUCUGAGGGUCCUACCAUUUUAGGACUUUUUACCCUGUAAAGGGAUCGAACCCAACUUUGUGUGGAUGAUAAAAUACAUGCAUGGAAGCCGAUUAGGUUUAUAAAUUAAGAGUCCCCCCCGAUAUGGAAUUAUAAGGUCCUAAAACUCCAGGCCUUUUCAAGUUUGAACUUAUCUCAAUGUAACACACACACACACACACACACACACACACAUAUAGAUAUAUAUAUAUAUAUAUAUAUCCUUUUGCAGCUAAAGAAGAAGCCUCUGCAUAUGCAAUGCAUGAUUAAUUGAUCGUUUGCUGCUGAUUAUUCCGAACUUUAGUCGUACAUUAAUGCCGUCAGUCCAUAUAUAAAAAUUUACUUAUUCAUUGAUUGGGUUUUCAACGAGUUGUUUUAACAAUAAUGUUAUUUAGACUCACAAAACUACUGAUGUUAAUUACUACAUGCUCUUUAAUAAUAUAGAUGAAUUCACCAUUGUACGUAAAAUAUGUUAGCGAUAUUGUCAAUUUAUGUAAAGAUAAAUGGGUGAUUAGAUUGGACUGAAGAUGAGUAGGGUACACCAUAAAGAACAUAUGGUAGUGUCCUUGUGCGCGUGGCUUCAUACUUGAGCAUACAUGGGGGCCAUGCUACCCUUCUGGUCCUAAGUUCUGCAGGCACACCACCUCAUGAUACAAAAUCAAAUCUUCUGAAUAAUGAAACUAUGAUUAUGUACUGCGUGACUUAAUCGGUUCCUUUCAAUAUUAUAUGCCCCCUAGCUAUUUCAUAACCAAAAUUUAUUCAGGUGGAAAUUUUCAAUAACAUAAGAGUGUGUGUGUGUGUACAUACAUAUAUACAUAUAUAAAAGAAUCGAGAGAUAUCAAAAGAAAUGUUCACUAGUACAAAAACAUGUUUGCGCGACGGAAACUUGCGCGACGCAGCAAAUUUCGUCGCGCAAAUAGCCUUUGCGCGACGACACUUUGCGCGACGAAGUCUUGCGUCGCUCAAAGCAGUUUUGCGCAACGAAGGUAUACCUACGUCGCGCAAAACAUCUUUGCGCGACGCAAGCCUUCGUCGCGCAAAGUGUCGUCGCGCAAAGGCUGUUUGAGUGACGUUUUGUGCAUCACCAUCCCAACUUUGCGUGACGCAUGUGCAUAUACGUCGCGCAAAGUCGACGACUUUUUUUUCUAAAAUAACCACACACAAGGGCCUUUUUCUUCACACUCAACCUCUUUCUUUCAGACUCUCCGUCUCUCUCAACCUUCAGGUAUUGUAUUUAUUUGAUUAAUUAAUUAACUAUUUAUUGAUUACAUUUAUGUUUGGAUUUUUUAUUUUUGUGUAUUUAUGUUUUUCUUUAAUUAUCUUUGUCAAUGCUUAUUUUUAACAAGUUGAGUUUUGGUUUUGAACAAUUGAAUGAGUAGAAUGAAUGACUAGGAGUAUGAAGGAUUUUGAUAGGUUUAGGGAAACAAAAGCUAAGAAACUGCAAGUUGCUCAGUUAACUUGAUCCAAUUUAGGGAUAGAUUGAUGUGUGCAAAAAAAUGAUUUCAUUUCUCACCAAAUUGGGAAGAGGAAACUAGAAUGUUAGACAUUUAGAGAAGAAUCCAGUUUACAUCUUUGUCAAACCACUAUUCUAUUAUGUGGUUAGUAAUCAUUUUAGGUGUAGUCUCUACCCUUUACGAUUUUGAAUACGUAGUCUCAUCAUAUAGGUCCUUAAACAAUAAUUUUAAGGCAUGAGUGGAAGAGGUAUACAAGAAGUAAAAACUGUGGAAUAUAGGAAAAAAAAAACACUUUGCGCGACGGAGGUACACAUGCGUCGUGCAAAGCUACUUUGCGCGACGCAUGUGUACCUCCGUCGCGCAAAGUGUUUUUUUUUUUUUUUUGCCUUUUGCUUUGCUUUUGGGGUUCUUGCAUUGGCUUUUUCUUUUGUGGUAUCCACUUGUGUAAAUGUUUUAAAUUGACGAUCGAAUUAGUUCCUUGCAUUCAUAUAGGAUCCAAGAGUGUAGCUGUAAAAAAUCAUCAAAAUCGGAGUUAAAAUAACCGUUAACUCGUUAUUUUUUCUUUUAUAACCGUCAAAAAGUUUUGUCCCGUUACUUGAUCUUUGAAGGUUUGUUUUUUUCAAUUUUUGGCGUAUGUGAUCUCAAAGCAUAUACAAACAAAUUUGACGGUUAGAUCGUUGAAACUAGUUUUGUACAAUGUGUAUCCCAUUAAAACAAUAGAUUCCCUAACACUUAUAUUUUAUUUAUACUUUCAUCAAGUAUAACAUAAAAUUUUGUGGUAUCCACUUGUGUAAAUGUUUUAAAUUGAUGAUCAAAUCAGUUCCUUAUAUACAUAUAGGAUCUAGGAGUGUAGCUGUAAAAAAUUAUCAAAAUCGGAGUUAAAAUAACCGUAAAAUCUUGAUUUUUUUGUUUAUAACCGUCGAAAAGUUUUGUCCCGUUACCUGAUCUCUGAAGGUUUGUUUUUUGCCAUUUUUGGUGUAUGCGAUCUCGAAGCAUAUACAAACAAAUUUGAUGGUUGGAUCGUUGAAACUAGUUUCAUACAAUGCGUAUCCCAUUAAAAUGAUAGAUUAUCCAACACUUAUAUUUUAUUUAUACUUUCAUAAGUAUAACAUAAGAUUUUGUGGUAUCCACUUGUGUAAAUGUUUUAAAUUGACGAUCGAACCAGUUCCUUGUAUUCAUAUAGGAUCCAGGAGUGUAGCUGUAAAAAAUCAUCAAAAUCAGAGUUAAAAUAACCGUUCAAUCGUGAUUUUUCGUUUAUAGCCGUCGAAAAGGUUUGACCCGUUAUAUAAUCUCUGAUUGUUUGUUUUUUGCGAUUUUUGGUGUAUACGAUCUCGAAUCAUAUAUAAACAAGUUUGACGGUUGGAUUGUGGAAACUAGUUUCGUAAAAUGCAUUUCCCAUCAAAACGAUAGAUUUACUAAAACUUGAGAGUUUAUUUAUACUUUCAUUAAGUAUAACAUAAGAUUUUGUGGUAUCCACUUGUGUAAAUGUUUUAAAUUGACGAUCGAACCAGUUCCUUGUAUUCAUAUAGGAUCCAGGAGUGUAGCUGUACAAAAUCAUCAAAAUCGGAGUUAAAAUAACCGUGAAAUCGUGAUUUUUUCGUUUAUAAUCGUUGAAAAGUUUUGUCUCGUUACUUGAUCUCUGAAUGUUUUUUUUUUACGAUUUUUGGCGUAUGCGAUCUCGAAGUAUAUACAAACGAGUUUGACUGUUGGAUCGUUGAAACUAGUUUCGUACAAUGCGUAUCCCAUCAAUUUCAAUACAUUCACAAAGACUUGAAGUUUAUUUAUAAUUUCAUUAAGUAUAACAUAAGAUUUUGUGGUAUCCACUUGUGUAAAUAUUUUAAAAUGACGAUCAAAUUAGUUCAUUGUAUUCAUAUAGGAUCAACGAGUGUAGCUAUAAAAAUCAUCAAAAUCGGAGUUAAAACUACAGUUAAAUCGUGAUUUUUCGUUUAUAACCGUCGAAAAAUUCCUGUAACUUGAACUUUGAAAGUUUGUUUUUUGUCGAUUUUUGACGAAUGCGAUCUCGAAGUAUAUACAAACAAGUUUGACGGUUAAAUCGUAGAAUGCGUAUCUCAUCAAGUUGAAUGGUACAUAUAUUUAUUAAGUAGCUUUAAUUUUUUUUAUUUUGUACGUAUAACACUUAAGAAAUUGAAUGGUAUAUAUAUUUAUUAAGUAGUUUUAAAUUUAUUAUUGUACGUAUAACCCUUUGCACGACGCACCAACCAAUGCAUCGCGCAAGUUGUUGAAAUUUUGGCGGUACGAUUGAAAAAAAUAGGCGCUUUUUUUUUUUAAUUUUUCUCAAAUUACUUAUAAUUGCUCUCGCUUGGUCUCUCUCUUCCUUCUCGCUCAUCUCGCCCUCUCUCUCACUCCGUCUCGCUCUUCUCUCCCACUCCGUUAGACGAAUUACAAAGACGAAGGAAGACAGCAGCCACUACCCACCCAUCUGUUUCUCCUCCGCUCCACCCUCCGUCGGCGUUUUGGGCAUUUUACCUGAUAGGGAUGUGCACCACCAGUAGAGCCGCGACUUGUGGUACGCAUUCAACCGAGAGUCACACACUGACACAAGUACACUAUUUGCCUGUAAUCUUCGUCUCCGCACAACACACAUACGUGGGUCGGUAAGCCCUUCCAAUUUCCCAAUCAUUUCCCUUCUCAAAUUUUGACAUAUAUGAAUUCCCAGUAUUCCAAUUACCAGGAAUUCACAGUGUUUGCUGUUUGCGUUCCCAUUUCACUGUAAAUUUCAAUCCUCACUGCCAUUUUUCACCUUAGUUUCCAGUAAUCAGUGAGAAAAAGUGUAAAUUUACCUGUUUAAAUUUGUGGGUUUUCGUUCUAUUACCGUAUAAUGGCGAUUUCUAUGCUUUACGGAGCUCAGAAUCUCAAACUUGUCAAUGGAAUAAUAGCAGUAACACCAAGUGGGUUAGGUUCUGGUGGGAAAAAUUACCCUUAUGGGGUUUUUCCCAGAAGGGUUUAGUGAGCUAUGGCGGUAGGAGUCGAAACACCAAUCGCCGCACCAACUUGCCAAGGCUAAGGAGAAGGAGCCCUUGAAGGAAUGCAGGAAAAUUGAAGGGGAUGCCGAUGAUCUGCCGUACCCAACUGAUUACGUGGAUCGAUAUGUCUCUGCUGGAAGGUACAAUUUCUGCUUGUUUUGCUUCCUAUAAUCAGUGUAAUGAAUUUGCAUUUAAAGGAAUCUCAAAGUGUAAUGUGUUUACAUUUAAAGGAAUGUCAAGUGGCGUUUUGAGCAAUGGGGUUAUUUGUCUGAAGUUCGGGUGUAGAAAUGUAUCAUAAAUUUAGCCAAGCUUAUUAUCACUUAUUUCAAAUUUUAGUGUCAAAUUCUGUUAUAAUGUUUCCUUGUUGUCAGGUUUGUUUCAGAUUUACAUCUUUUUCUUUUUGCCUUUGCUAGAUUUUCAAUUUUGUUAUAAUGUUUCCUAGCGGGUUAAUAGCACUUUAUCAUAUUAUACUUGUAAAGCUUGGCAUGCCCGUCUUUGCUUCAAUCUUGAGGUCCAGUAGCUUUUAGUGUCAAAUUCCAUUUGACCAUGAAUUGUAGAUCAUCACCUGCUUUAAAAUUCAAAACUUGUCUGCCUGCUUUGAAUUGGAAGGAUUCAGUUUAAGUUUAAAAUAGGGAAUAAGUUGACUUACUUUGAAUUGGAAGGAUUCCGUUUAAGUUUGCCUGCUCUGAAUUGGAAGGAUUCAGUUUAUGUUUAAAACUUGUGAUUUAAGUUGUUGAGUUUAUGGCUUUCGCUUCAAAAUGCUCAUGGAUUAAGGAAAAUUUCCUGUUAUUUGAUUUAGUCCUCUCAUUUCUCGUAUGUGGUUAUGCAUCUAUUGCGAAUUCUUAGGGCAUAUCGCAUUUGUCUUUAGGCAUUCAAUUAUUUAGAGUUACCGUACUUACUCUUGCACUCUUGUCACCAUUGAUGAUCUAUCUGCCUGUGUAUUUACUUUGUUAUAUAUAUUUUGGGUCGUGUCUGUAAUUUGUACUUCUAUAGUUAAGUGUGUGGGGUUUGGCGUUUUGAUGUUUUAAGGUCAUUUAAUUGCAGAUAAAUGGUUGAAUUUUUCAGUGCAAAGUGUUAACUAGAUUUCUUGUGGGAUAUGGUCAAUGAUUGGGCAAUCUCUAUGGGAUUCGGUAUCUAGAAUUAAAGAUUACUCCAUUCUUUUCUGUUAAUGUGGAUUGAUAUGCUGUUGUAUCUUCAGUCGGUUCCCUUUUUCAGGAGGUUAUGAUGUCUUUGGGGCUUGGUGUCAUUCUACAAUGUAGUUUUGAUUGUAGGGUUUUUAUUUUUGGGUAUAUCUCUUGUAUUGCUGGUCCAUUGCUUGUUGUAUUUUGCUGUUUAGCACAUUUUAGUAAAAUUUAUCAAUCUUCUACAAAAAGCAUUAUUUUUGUAAAGUGAUAUGUAUAUAUUGUGCAUGGCCUAAAGUGUGUUUUUCCCUGUAGGCAUCUCCAAUUCAUCUAGCUGGAAGGCAAGUUUACAUUGAGAAGCAGAGACCAAACAGCACUGGAUUAGCAGCUCGAGGAAGUAUGUGCUUAAUUUCAUUAUUUUUUUCUUAACAUCUUUGAUGUGGCAAAAUUGUCAGACUUGUGAAUGCAUGAUGUUAUUCUUAAAUACUGUAUCUAUUGGAAAAACAUGAAUGUAAGGGGAUGUAUUGGGGAUGUUGUGUGGAGUCCUCGAGUGGCCCUUACGGUUGUGUUUGUCCUAAUGUUGGCAGCUGCUGCAAGGAAGUGGUGUUGCCUUCAUAAAUCUUAGAAAUUUUUUGUAGUAGAGAUAGAGAACAUACUUUUUCCCAAUUAGUCUCGGAAUCAAAUUUGCAUUGCAAUCUUCCUUCUUCUAAGAUGUCGUUUAGAUGUGCAGUACUAGCGUCAAGGUUUUUCAUGGAACCAAAUCAUUUGUCCUGUUCAUGAGCUUACUGAGUCUAUUGGCAUAGCCAGCAUUUAGAAUGUGAUCUACCAAACUAUUAAGCAUCUAUGCAUCUGUUUUCCUUAGAGAUAACAUUUAAUUUGCUCAACUUUUGGUCUCCUUACGUGGAUUUUGAAUUUUUCAACCAGGAGGAAGGGGCAGAGGCAGAGGAGGUUACCAAACUGAUGCCACAAGGGGGCGUUUUGGUGGCCGGAGUUCAAGCAGGGGUAGUUACGGAUGGAGAUUACAACAGACUGAGAGGCAAUGGUUUUCAUCAGCGUGGCAAGGCUACACCACCAGCCGAUACUUAGUAGCCUGAUGCAUCAAGCCUAAAAGACUACUUGUUGUAGUUUUUUCUUUUAUGUUUUUUUUUUGGGUCAAUUAGUUUUUUCUUUUUUGUUCGAACAUCUUGUACGUACAUUUUCAUAUAUUUUAUAAUUAAAUAUUUUGCUUGGUUAAUUCAUUAUUGUUUAGAAUUUAAUUACAAUAUUUAUUAAAAAUUUAAAACAAAAUAUUUUUGACGAAAACAUAAAAAAGGGAUUUGCGCGACGCAUGCCUACGUCGUGCAAAGACAAUAAGCCACUUUGCGCGACGCAUAUCUUACGUCGUGCAAAGCCACGAAGGCACUUUGCACGACGCAUGACUACGUCGCGCAAAGACACCUAUGCCACUUUGCGCGACGCAUGUAACCCCUUCGUCGCGCAAAGCUUUCUGUCACUGCCUUGCCGCGACGGUUUGCGCGCGACGAAGGUUCGUUGAGCAAAGUUUUGCGCGACGUUUUUUGACUUUGCGCGACGAAGGACCUGCGUCGCGCAAAGUGUUUUUUUUACUAGUGGUUGUGCAAAUUGGAGAAUUGGCUAGGUUUUGGACCAAAGCAAUAAAGGCGUGGUGCAGAUGAAAAUAAAUAAGAAACAAAAAUGCAUCAUCAAAAGAUGGAGAGAGCAAGGGAGGAGGUGGUCAUGCUGCCGUGGUCAGAGUAGGGUGAAAAACGAACACGAAAGCCAGAGGGAUGGACCAGCUGCGGCUUUGGGACCAUUAUUUGUUUAAUUAGGGUAGGGUUGCAGACUUGCAGAUGAAGACUAUUGAGGGCCAUCGAGAGAGACAUUGCAUGUAAAUAAGACUUUUGUUCAUCAAAUCCAAUGAUAACACAAUGAUGUUCAAAAAAUUAAAGAAAGAACAAAGCCACCAUCGAUAGUAUAUAGAUAUAUCUAACUCGGAAAAUGAAACUUUCUUGCAACCAAUGCACCGUACCAUAUUAUUCGUUUGAUAGACAUUUGUCAUGUAUUUAAAUAGUGAAUCAUCCAUGUAAACGGUGAAUCAUUCUUUCGAUAGACAUUUAUCAUGUGUUUAAAUCGUAACUUAAUUUACUUAUAAAUUAAUGUAAAGUUCUUCCUCCCAUUAAUGUGGGAUUUAUUCUCAACAUAUCUCUUCACGUGUGACGAAUUUUCAAGCCAAAGACGUGGACAAUACCACUGGAAUGAUGUGGAGCACGUGUGACCGUUAAACUUCACACAUGAAACAAUCCACUCCAAUACCCCGAAAAAAAGAUAUGUUUCUUUUGUAACUAAAUUAAGCGGAUGAUAAUAAAAAAUUUCGAUCCUGCACAAACAAGGAUAAAAUUUUACCCAAACAUUCAACUAACUACAGUCAAAGUAAACGUGUAAAAAAAUAUUGACUUUGUUGAUUUUAUUUAUAGAGUAAACACCUUUAUAUAUCUCACAAGGACUUCAAAGAGUAGGAUUUCUAAGAAAGAACCGAUUACAUUAAAUUACAAAAUAUCUUUUAUGCGUUAAGGCAUGCAAAAUGUGAGCUGCGUGGUGCCGGCGAGAUGGAAAAUAUAUACUAGCCAAAUUGUUAAAUUGAGUUUGAAACCACGGGCUGAGUUUGUUAAUUAUAUCAAAUAUUUUUAGCAACAAUUGAAGCAGAACACAAAAGACUGAACGAAGCUCUUCGGAGCCCCAGAGUAAGAUGGGCCAGACCCAUUUUGGUACAAACCCUAACCCUAAAAUAAAAAUCGAAAACUGAUUGACAAAUGCAUGCAAUUCAACCCUUAUUUUCGUACAAGUUCGGUAAUAUCUCCGGUGGUCAUGGUUAUGGUUCCAGGAAUUUCAGUUACAUGAUGAUUAAUCGUCAUGGUUAUGGUGUAUUCGAUUGGUCAUAUCUCCAGUGCCCACUUUAAUCCGACAUAACCUUCACCAUCUUCCGCCAUUUUCCACCCAAACACGCAUUAAUUAAUCAAAAACUAUUCCGCCCAAUUAAUUAAUUAAUCAUGAUUAAAUUCUUGUCAUAUAUUCAUGCAUUCAAUUGCAUAAUUUGUACUUGCCUCUGUAUAUUGCAGCGCAUGUGUUAGGAUCCAUCCUUGCAAGCGGGACUUUAUGCCUUGUUUUGGUGCCCCAAGCGGCAUAUUUUGGAACAUAACUAGUUGGAUCAGACGUUCGAUAUUUGGUCAUGCAGAUCAUUGCCUCUUUUGUCUUGAUGUUUGUUAUUUCAGGCAUCGCCACAGAUAGUAGAGCUGUUAGUAAUUAAUCCCUAAUAUGCUCAUACAUAUGCAUAUGUGCACUGCAUGCAUGCAUGCAGAUUGGAGAAUUGGCAUUAAUUGCUGUAGGAAUGACAAUAACUAUCGACGUCCUCGUUGCCAGGUACAUAUAUACAUAUACAUAUAGCACAUAUAUAAAAUACAAUAAUAUUGUACGUUUGGAUAUAUAAAACUAACGUACUUGAAUACAUAUAUAUGACAUGGAGCAGACCGGUCUUAGGGGCAUCGAUGGACCCAGCACGGAGCCAAGGGCCAACAAUAGUGAUGCACACAGACAAGGGAAUAUCGAUUUAUAUUGUAGGUCCAUUCGUUGGCACCAUAUAGACUCGGUGGAGUCGCCUACAAUCUCAUUCGGUUCGCUGACAAACCACUGAGAGAGUUAACUGACAAAACCAAUACUGCGGGAGUUAAGAAGAGUGCUUCCUUCAUCAAAUACGUUUCCGAAAACAAUUUUUAUAGAACUUAAUUAUCACGAGCUGGUGGUCCAAUGGUAAAAGGUGGAUUACGAGACUUCUUUAAAACUGAAAACUGGAAGUCUCUGGUUUGAAACCCACUACUAGUGUGGAAGCUAGACUUGUGGCCAAGGGGAUGCUGAAAUGCCUCUGUUAGUCUUCCCCCUCCGGGAAGAAGUGAAUAACCGUGACUUGUCGCCAAUUGUCCCCUUUUUUUAAAAAAAAAAAAUUCGUAGUUAAUUCAUAAUCAAUUAUUACGUACUGUUGUGAUGGAAUCGAUUGGUCGUCGAUAUCUUCUCCUUCUACAGCCUGCUGCUGCAUGACAUGCAUGUCAAAUAGGUCGUAUGUUGUUUGGAAGGAAGAAUAAAAAAAAUUUUAAUUUCUUUUUUGUUGAUUUCUUAAUCAGUGUUAAAUUAAAUUGUUUUUUCAUAUUUUAUUAUUGGGAAGUGUUAUUAGCACUCCAAAAAUCUUAUUCCACACUCCUCACAAGUGUAUUUUUCUUUCUAAAUAUAGAAAUUUUGGAGUGUAGAAUGAGAUUUUUGAAGUGCCAAUAACAAUUCCCUUAUUAUUUUAUGAAAUAAUUUGUAACUUUUGUGUCGUGCUUAUGAGGUAUUUUAGGUGUACAUUGAAUGCGGUCACAUGCGUGAUAUAAUACUAUUUCACGCAAAUUAUUUCCAAAAGCAUAGGUAGUUCCCAAUAAUUUCAACAGGUAACCAUAUAUAAUUGGAUUACAAUUUCCAUAACUAGUUACUCUAUCAAAAUCAUAUUUGAUUUCAAUUGAUGUGUAACCAUGCAUAUACAUAAUGAUAUAUAGCUGCCUUUAUUUAAUUAAUAUGCAUAUAAAUGUGACCUUCCUGAGAUGCUCCUUUUCAUAAACUUCAAACUAAUUAUUAAUUUAGUUAUAAACAUUAAAUAAUCGCACUUUGUUUAAAAAAGUUUAGAUCCAAAACACAUGGAGCUCCUCACAUGCGUUAGUCAUACGUUGCAUAGAGCAAAAAUCUCACAUGUCCUUCUAUUCAAAACUAUCACAUAUUUCUGACUAGCUACUUUAAUCGUUUACCAAUCGUUACAGGUGUAGUAGGAACUUGUGAAAUCAAUCAAUUGUACUAGCUAAUAUAUAUAUAUAUAUAUAUAUAUAUAUAUUCGUCAAAGGAUCUAUAUAAAUAUAAGUUGUCAAGUUAUUUUCAAAACCAUCUUAAUCGAUCCCUUUGUUUUUUAUAUAGUCUUCAAAGUUAUGGUGAUCAGCCAUAGACUUUUCCAUCUGAUAUGUCCCUAGCUCCCACCAAAUGUAUCUGGGGAAAAAACCCUUGACUCUCUCUAAUCUUAUGGUGCCACAUGGGUAAUUUUUGGUUGUCAUUGUCUUUACCAUCUUUGUAAUAUAAAUGGAUCGAUGUCACCAACAUUUUGUUUCUAAGAAAAGAAAUUAAAAUUAAAAAGCUAUACAUGUCAUAUAACAACUUGUAUUAUAGUUUAGCUAUAUUUUUCUUUCUUUGGAAACGAGAGAUCUCACAUUUAACUUCCAUAAAUAACAAGUUUGUAUAAUAUUUGUGUUGAAUUUGAUAUCUGAUUAUGUCUUAUUUUAAAGUAAAAUAUCAUCGUAUGAAAAAAAUAUGUAUGCUCUAUUUCAUGUUUGGUUGAUAUAAGCUCACUCUCACUGGGGUUAGGUGUCUAUUCUUUUCUUUUCUUUUUUGAAUUGCUAUGUAUUAUUUUCAAGUGGACGAAACCAGAGGAAUACUACCUCAACCUACAUGCUCCACUCACAAAACUUUAACAUACAAGCUUCAACAAAAGAAAAUUCAGAGAACUUAGCGAAGAAGGCUUUGGUGUAUUUAACACAAUACGUUGAAAUGAAGGAAAGCUAUUUAUUGAUAUCCCCGAUAAGUCACAAAUAUAUACAUAUACAUGAGUCAAAAUAAACAAACAAGAGGGAGCCUUCACAAAGGUUGCUUAGGAGAAGUCUCAGCAGUCGGUAGAGCCCCAGAAAGAGCAGGCAUUGGAGGGGGAUCAUUUGGAGCCUCAGUACUGGACAGAACCCUAGAAGGAGGAGCCAGCAGAGGUUGAUCAUUUGGAGCUUCAUUACGCGGUACAGCCCCAGAAGACGAAGGCAAUAAAUGACUUUGGAACAAACCCACAAAUCUCUGAUGAUCAAGUAAAACCUGACCAUCAGAUUCCUUCAUCUGGUCAAGCUUCCUCUUCAUGUUUGUAGCAUAGUCAUGUGCGAGCCGGUGCAACUGUUUAUUCUCAUGCUUGAGCCCUCUAAUCUCCUGUUUGAGACUCAUCACUUCAGCCGCCAAUGAUUCAACUUGGUGGGUUCGAGCAAAUAGGCGUUGGGCCAUGUUAGACACAGAACCUGCACACUGAAUACUGAGAGCCAGAGAAUCCUUAACAACCAACUCAUCAGACCGUUUGGAAAGUAGUCUGUUAUCUUUGGGAGUGAGAAGGUUCCUGGCCACUACCGCAGCGGUCAUAUCAUUCUUCAUCACGGAAUCCCCAACGGUAAGAGGACCAGUAGGGGAGACGAAUGAUGGACGCCAUAUGUUGUCUGGAGAAGGCGUGACUGCCUCUUAAACAAGGUUCAAGUCAAAACGACGGUCGGAUGGGCCAGACAUUUUCAAAGGUGUUGAAGAGAGAAGAGGUUGGACAAAUCAAGAUCUUAGAAGUGUAAGAAUAAUGAAGCUUCUACUGGUGGAGAUUCAAGUGUGCUUUGGAACUUAAUGCCAGCCUCUAUAAAAAUCUGCACUUGACGGAGCUUCAGAAAUCGAAGAGGCGUUUGCUUUCUCAAAAGCUGGGCUGCUCAGAGACCACGAGACGUUUACUUUCUCAAAAGUUAGGCUGCUCACCACGAAGGCCGAUCUUAGAAAUCGAAGAGGCGCUUGCUUUCUCAAAAGCUGGGCUGCUCAGAGACCACGAGGGCCGAUCUCAGAAAUCGAAGAGGCACCUACUUUUCCAGCCUUGUCAGCACCUGUCAGCUUUGCGGAAAUUAUGGGCAUUAUGUCGAAGAUUUCUGGUGAAGUAGAAAGCACAUGAAUCUUACUGUUCAAUCACCCACUUCCCACACGCAACAUUAGCUCAUGGGUACCACAGAUAACUUUGCCAAAGUUCUCUGACAAAGUUGAGACAUGUGAAGCUUGCAGCUCCCACUACACCGCUCUGACCAAGAAGGGUAAAAGAAUAGCAAAGAAACAGCACUAACAAAGUUUAGACACAUAAAUUUUAAAGGUCUAGCUACCAUAUUAUUACCCACAAGGGUAAAGGAACAGUACCACUGCUGGAUAAUUGGAAAGUCCCUGUGUUUCAACCUCUGUGCUUCGUGGCAAGAUAGACUAGCAAACAUGCCCAACCUUUUCUCACAUUCGAGAAAACACUCCCAACAAGAUUGCUUGCUCCAAAAUCGAAGAGGCACCGCCCUCCGAAUCUCGAGAGCCAGACUCCCAACAUGAUUACUUUCUCAAAAAUCGAAGAGACACCGCUAUCCGAAUCUCGAGAGCCAGACCCCUAGCAGGAUUGUUUUCUCAAAAAUCGAAAAGGCAUCGUUAUCCGAAUCUCGAGAGCCAGAUCUCCGACAAGAUUGCUUGUUCGAAAACCGAAGAGGCACCACUUUCCCAACUUCAAGAGCCGAAUCUCCUUGGAUAAAGCUUGUCUGUAAUCUUUACACGCAACAUCAGAUUUCCAGAUACCACAGACCACUUUUUCAAAGUGCUCUGACAGAGUUAAAACAUGUGAAGCUGGCAGCUCCCACUACCGUGUUAUGACCAAGCAGGGUAAAGGAAUAGCAUUACUACUUGUUGUUAAGGAGACUCCUAUAUAUGUUGACCUCCAUCCCUAACAGACAGGCAAACCUGCAAAAAUGCUCAACCUUUCCUCAUAUCUGAGAGGGCACUCCCAAAGAAGCCUUUCGAAAUAUUCAGCUUUCUUUCCCCCCGAUAAUACCUCUGCAAACAAGCUAUACUAGAGCAAGAAUAUCUCAUAUCAUCAGGGUUAAAAGCAAGAGUAUCCCAUAUCAUGUUUUUUCCCUGUCUUUUCCUUUGGCCUUGUUCUUACCUGUAAGACAAGGAGAAAGAGAGCAAUCAGUCAGCACUUGGAAUCAAGCUUCCAGUCAGGAACUGACUGCCUGGAACCCCCUACUUGAUUACUUACCUGGCAUUGCUCUCGAGUACUCAUCUUCAACAUCUUAUGCUUCCAGGGAAGAUACCGCAUCUGCCUGAGGAACAUAUUGAAGGAAUUAUUUUGAAAAACAUGUUCAUUUGAGCAACAUCAUAUAGCAUGCAAUUAACAAUUAAAGACGGAAUCAUGCUUGUAUGCACUCAAAAACAAAACAUUACCAUGAAAUUCAAAGCCUAGUAGAUUGGUGAACCAAUAAUCAACUCAAAACAAAGUGAGUUGAAAUUAAUACCUUUGUAGAUUCCUCUUUGCAUAAGCAAAGGCUAAUCACCUAGAGAGAUAGGGGCCUUCAUUCCUUGCUUCUUAGAUCCAUGGAUUUGGAUGGAAGAAUAGGUUCUCCAAGUUCCCAAAAUUGAGAACCUCUAAGUCUCUUCACCAAGGUUAGAUUGUAGAAGAAAUGAGUGACCUUGGAGUAGUAGGAUUGCUAGAUGUACCCUCCAAGGUGUUGGCCUCUUUAGAGAGAAAAUGGAGAGACAAUUCUCACCAAUUUUCCCCCAAAAUAAACCCUUUUAAUCCUUAAUCACAUUAUGAAUAUUUGGCUAUAAAGUCCUUUAUAUAGUCCCUUCAAAUAAGUGACCUAAAGAACCAAAACCCUAAUUCAUCUAACAUGGCCGGCCUACCUAGGGAUUUUUGGGCUUUUGGGCCUUUGUGAAUCUUUAUUCAUUAAGUUGUCAUACAACUUAAGUCAAUGGGCUUGACUUUCGAAGCCCAUUGGGCCUUAAGGUCCAAAACUAUCCCGAGGUCUUUAACGAACUUAUUCGUUUGAUUAAUUAACAUAUUAAUUAAUCCUUGCCAUAAUUUAAAUGAUUAAACCAUUUAAUCAUUCUUACUCAUCUCCGUUUAAUCUUCAAUCUCCACCUUUUAUGGUGUGCGAUCCAUUAGGUUCCUUUUAGCGAGGUAGUGGGCGAUUAAAACCAUUUUACAUUGAUUGUGAAUUGAAACUAUUUUCAAUUCUCCCUUUAGUGAUUACACACGUUUAGGGCUUCCACAAACCAUGGUUGACGCCUAGCAGCAUGUCAUGGUUACCCAAGCUAAUCAGAAGAGGUUAGAGAACCUAUUCAGUUCGGGAUUACAAAUGCAAUACGAUCUUUCUCUAAUCUAAUACUCUUGACCACAUUGUUUGGUUUGAUAGUUUAUUUGUUCAUGUCUACUAUCCAAUGUGAAUCUUGUGCUUAUAUGAUUUACUUGAAUGUGAUUUGGAACGCAUUCCCUAAUCUCAUUCAUACUCUGGCCAGAGAUUCUAAAUCAUAUCAUAGAGUAUUCUCCCUCAACUGUUUGAAGGUUAGAGAUCCCUUGUUGCGCAUUCACUUGUCUCCAUAGCUAAGUCACUUGACCCCAACGAUGCCGUGGACACCCCGAGGGGGUGACUUUGACAUAAUCAAAGAUCAAGGACUUAACCACAAGACAACUGUGAUGCCUCAGGUCAAAGGACUACUUUGCAUUAUCCCAACCAUGAGUUCUUAUGUGACAUGGAAUAUGAGAACUCUUCGUUGAUCACGUUCAGUGUACUCAUUCUCUAUUGAGCACCUACGUACUUGUCUUGAUGUCACACACACCAAUGACUCGAGACUAAUCACUCUUCCUGAGAGAAGACAUAGUACGUACCGAUCUUAACGGACUGUCAAUGCCCAAUUGACAAUCCUAUGAUCAGGAACAUUUAGGAUGUGUCUACGAAAGAAUGGUCUCAUGAAUCUAACUUCAUUAGAUUACAUUCUCCCAAUCACAUAUUCCUUGGACUUUAUCGUUUAAGCAUAUAACAUUUAUAUGAGACGGCUCAAACAAUAAUCUUUGCCCUUUAUAUGUAAAACUAGAUUAGUUUAACAUGUGAAAUGUCCGUAAAGUAUCAUCACAUGAUUGGCUUUAGGGCACAUUUCCAACACAUAUAGGGCAAGUGAGAAGGAUACAAGGAAGCAUGUGGAGACAAGCGUAACAGCACACGUGCCGAUACAUCCACUACUCUGUCAAAAGCAAAAGUAUCUCAUAUCAGCAGGGUCGAACGUACUAUAGAUUUGAUGGACUUGUUUUGACCCUCAAAUUCUUCAGUCGGCCUUAUACUCUGGAGGAAACCAGAAAACCCUCCAGCCUAGUUCAAGAAUAAGCCUGUGGAAAGUUACUUCUUCAAAAGCAAAAAUAUCCCAUAUCAUCUCUUCUCAUUUUUCUUCUCUUUAUCCUUCAUGCUGCCUACAAGAUAGGGAGAAUGUGAACAAUCAGCCGGAACUCGAAAUCAAAGUUCUGAUCUGGGACUGAUUGCUUGGAGCUCUGAUUGCUUACCUUGUCUGUCACCUCUUUCAGCAGAUCCCCUAGCUCGACGACUUGGAGGACUCCUACUACAUGGUUUGUAUCGCGCUUGACCAAGCCUGAAACUACAAGUAAGCUUCAAGUGAAAUUGAUACAUUACCUUGUGCAUCUCCACCAGUUAAAGAUACCACCCCUGGAUGGAGGAAGAGUACUUCCAGAGAAGAUGCCACAUCUACCUACGAGACAGAUAAGGCAAGUCAAGACGAUACCACACUCCAGAACUUAGAAGUUUCGUGAUUACGAGAUCAUUCUCCCACAAUAUUUCCUAAUGUCAUUUGUACUAAAUCAUUCACUAGUACUUACUAAAAGAGAGCUUGAACCUAUGUACUUGUGUAAACCCUUCACAAUUAAUGAGAACUCCUUUAUUUCGUGGAUGUAGCCAAUAUGGGUGAACCACGUACAUCUGGUGUUUGCUUUCCUAUCUUUAUAUCCAUUUAUAUACUUAUCCACACUAAUGACCGGAGCAAUCUAGCGACGAUCACAAAAAGCGACCGUUUUCGCUACCUAGGAUCUAUCUUGCAAGAGAACGGAGAAUUAGAUAGAGGUCUCAACCAUAGAAUACAAGCUGGAUGGAUGAAGUGUAAGAGUGCAUCCGGCGUGUUGUGUGACCGUCGUAGGUCACUGAAGCUCAAGGGAAAAUUUUAUAGGACGGCAAUAAGGCCAGGGAUGUUGUAUGGCACAGAAUGUUGGGCGGUGAAGCAUCAACACGUACACAAAAUGGGUGUAGCGGAGAUAAGGAUGCUUCGUGGGAUGUGUGGGCACACGAGAAAGGAUAAGAUUGUGAAUGCGGAUAUCCGAGGUAAAGUAGGAGUAGCCGAAGUUGAAGGAAAGAUGAGAGAAAAUCGGUUACGGCGGUUUGGACAUGUGCAAAGAAGGCCUACUGACGCUCCGGUUCGAAGAUGUGACUACGGAACAGAGGUUCGGGGCCGAAGGGGUAGAGGAAGACCUAGGAAAACUUUGGAAGAGACCCUAAGAAAAGACUUAGAGUACUUGGAUCUAACGGAGGACAUGACACAAAACCGAGCGCAAUGGUGUUCUAGGAUUCAUAUAGCCGACCCCACUUAAUGGGAAAAGGCUUUGUUGUUGUUGUUGUUGUUGGACGAAACCAGAGGAAAAAAUAGAAAAUAAAAUAGAACAAAAAUUAUUAGUGUUCUUCUAACGGACAGGAUUACAAGAACACAAUUCAAUAAACGGACAGAAAUUGAGUUUAGAGAGGCGUUGCAGACCGGUAUCUUGUAUAUGUUGGCCACGGCGGGACAUGCACAGCCCUUGCACAUGGCUCCUCCACAUCUUUGGACUUCGUCCCAUAUGUGUAUGAUAAUGUAUUUGUGACUAGUCGGCCCACCCGGAUUCUUAACCGAAUACCUAAAUUCCUACGUUUUCUAAUCUAACGGUUCUAAUCUUUUCACAAGACUAUAUUUGUUGGAAAAGAAGGUAUGGUUGGAGGAAGCUGAUCGUCCUGGGCAGAACAGAAGGCAUUAACGACGGAAAGAACGGAGGAUAUGAAGGCGUUAUCGAGGUGUCAGAAGGCAAUGAUAAUAUGAUGAUGCAAAUGCAAACCAACCAUUUUAAGCAAGUCCAACUUCACAUUUUGAUUUCGUAUAUGACUACACUAAUCACUCUCUCAAUCACUCACCAAAAAGUCUUAUGUCUCUAUCUCUCUCCUACUCUUUCUCUCUAGAAACCUCGGAAGCUUGUUAGCCAAACAACAAGAUCUAAUCUUGCAACGCAAAAAACACGAAACCAAGAUCUAAAGACAAAGACAGACAAGUGGGUUUUGUGUCCUAGAUGCAUGUGAGUGUGUUUUUGCUCCUAACACGCUUGCUUCUGAUUCCCGACUAACAUUUUAGCUCCUUCAUUCUUCAUAACCCAACUGUUUCAUCCUCUGGAAUCCAAUCCCACAGCACUGUUUGAUAUGCUUUUCUUGUAGCUGUG
Molecule: long non-coding RNA, 32449 nt
Filed under: Malus domestica (apple)
Lineage: Eukaryota; Viridiplantae; Streptophyta; Magnoliopsida; Rosales; Rosaceae
Description: long non-coding RNA (MDOM_LNC016013)
Source: RNAcentral